CCUACGGGUGGCAGCAGUGAGGAAUAUUGGUCAAUGGACGAAAGUCUGAACCAGCCAAGUAGCGUGAAGGAUGACUGCCCUAUGGGUUGUAAACUUCUUUUAUAUGGGAAUAAAAUGUUCCACGUGUGGGGUUUUGUAUGUACCAUAUGAAUAAGGAUCGGCUAACUCCGUGCCAGCAGCCGCGGUAAUACGGAGGAUCCGAGCGUUAUCCGGAUUUAUUGGGUUUAAAGGGAGCGUAGGUGGAGUGUUAAGUCAGUCGUGAAAGUUUGCGGCUCAACCGUAAAAUUGCAGUUGAAACUGGCAGGCUUGAGGACAGUAGAGGUGGGCGGAAUUCGUGGUGUAGCGGUGAAAUGCUUAGAUAUCACGAAGAACUCCGAUUGCGAAGGCAGCUCACUGGAGUGCAACUGACACUGAGGCUCGAAAGUGUGGGUAUCAAACAGGAGUAGAUACCCGAGUAGUC
Molecule: ribosomal RNA, 460 nt
Filed under: uncultured bacterium
Lineage: Bacteria
Description: partial 16S ribosomal RNA
Rfam family: Bacterial small subunit ribosomal RNA
Source: RNAcentral